GNUGGAUUCGGGCUUAUUAGAUACCUGGGUAGUCCACGCUGUAAACGAUGGAUACUAGGUGUGCGGGGACUGACCCCCUGCGUGCGCAGCUAACGCAAUAAGUAUCCCACCUGGGGAGUACGAUCGCAAGGUUAAACUCAAAGGAAUUGACGNGGGCCCGCACAAGCGGUGGAUUAUGUGGUUUAAUUCGAUGCAACGCGAAGAACCUUACCAGGGCUUGACAUCCUACUAACGAAGUAGAGAUACAUUAGGUACCCUUCGGGGGAAGUAGAGACAGGUGGUGCAUGGUUGUCGUCAGCUCGUGUCGUGAGAUGUUGGGUUAAGUCCCGCAACGAGCGCAACCCUUAUUGUUAGUUGCUACGCAAGAGCACUCUAGCGAGACUGCCGUUGACAAAACGGAGGAAGGUGGGGACGACGUCAAAUCAUCAUGCCCCUUAUGUCCUGGGCUACACACGUAAUACAAUGGCGGUCAACAGAGGGAUGCAAAGCCGUGAGGUGGAGCGAACCCCUAAAAGCCGUCCCAGUUCAGAUCGCAGUCUGCAACCCGACUGCGUGAAGUCGGAAUCGCUAGUAAUCGCGGAUCAGCAUGCCGCGGUGAAUACGUUCCCGGGCCUUGUACACACCGCCCGUCACACCAUGAGAGUCGGGAACACCCGAAGUCCGUAGCCUAACCGCAAGGAGGGCGCGGCCGAAGGUGGGUUCGAUAAUUGGGGUGAAGUCGUAACAAGG
Molecule: ribosomal RNA, 729 nt
Filed under: uncultured bacterium
Lineage: Bacteria
Description: bacterial SSU rRNA
Rfam family: Bacterial small subunit ribosomal RNA
Source: RNAcentral